RNAcentral lists this ribosomal RNA (439 nucleotides) under uncultured bacterium. RNAcentral describes it as "partial 16S ribosomal RNA". It matches the Rfam family "Bacterial small subunit ribosomal RNA", at positions 339 to 795 of the family's 1533-position model. The record is from RNAcentral.
CUACGGGUUGCUCCAGUGAGGAAUAUUGCACAAUGGGGGGAACCCUGAUGCAGCAACGCCGCGUGGAGGAUGACGCAUUUCGGUGUGUAAACUCCUUUUAUAUGUCAAGAAAAUGACGGUAGCAUAUGAAUAAGCACCGGCUAACUCCGUGCCAGCAGCCGCGGUAAUACGGAGGGUGCAAGCGUUACUCGGAAUCACUGGGCGUAAAGGACGCGUAGGCGGGUUGGAAAGUCAGGUGUGAAAUCCUACAGCUUAACUGGAGAACUGCACUUGAAACUUCUAGUCUAGAGUAUGGGAGGGGGAGAUGGAAUUAGUGGUGUAGGGGUAAAAUCCGUAGAUAUCACUAGGAAUACCUAAAGCGAAGGCGAUCUCCUGGAACAUUACUGACGCUAAGGCGUGAAAGCGUGGGGAGCAAACAGGAUUAGAUACCCCAGUAGUC